Molecule: ribosomal RNA, 497 nt
Filed under: uncultured bacterium
Lineage: Bacteria
Description: partial 16S ribosomal RNA
Rfam family: Bacterial small subunit ribosomal RNA
Source: RNAcentral
GACGAACGCUGGCGGCGUGCCUAAUACAUGCAAGUUGAGCGCUGAAGGUUGGUACUUGUACCAACUGGAUGAGCAGCGAACGGGUGAGUAACGCGUGGGGAAUCUGCCUUUGAGCGGGGGACAACAUUUGGAAACGAAUGCUAAUACCGCAUAAAAACUUUAAACACAAGUUUUAAGUUUGAAAGAUGCAAUUGCAUCACUCAAAGAUGAUCCCGCGUUGUAUUAGCUAGUUGGUGAGGUAAAGGCUCACCAAGGCGAUGAUACAUAGCCGACCUGAGAGGGUGAGCGGCCACAUUGGGACUGAGACACGGCCCAAACUCCUACGGGAGGCAGCAGUAGGGAAUCUUCGGAAAUGGACGAAAGUCUGACCGAGCAACGCCGCGUGAGUGAAGAAGGUUUUCGGAUCGUAAAACUCUGUUGGUAGAGAAGAACGUUGGUGAGAGUGGAAAGCUCAUCAAGUGACGGUAACUACCCAGAAAGGGACGGCUAACUACGUG